AUUGAACGCUGGCGGCAGGCCUAACACAUGCAAGUCAAAUGGUAACAGGAAACAGCUUGCUGUUUCGCUGACGAGUGGCGGACGGGUGAGUAAUGUCUGGGAAACUGCCUGAUGGAGGGGGAUAACUACUGGAAACGGUAGCUAAUACCGCAUAACGUCGCAAGACCAAAGAGGGGGACCUUCGGGCCUCUUGCCAUCAGAUGUGCCCAGAUGGGAUUAGCUAGUAGGUGGGGUAACGGCUCACCUAGGCGACGAUCCCUAGCUGGUCUGAGAGGAUGACCAGCCACACUGGAACUGAGACACGGUCCAGACUCCUACGGGAGGCAGCAGUGGGGAAUAUUGCACAAUGGGCGCAAGCCUGAUGCAGCCAUGCCGCGUGUAUGAAGAAGGCCUUCGGGUUGUAAAGUACUUUCAGCGGGGAGGAAGGGAGUAAAGUUAAUACCUUUGCUCAUUGACGUUACCCGCAGAAGAAGCACCGGCUAACUCCGUG
Molecule: ribosomal RNA, 490 nt
Filed under: uncultured bacterium
Lineage: Bacteria
Description: partial 16S ribosomal RNA
Rfam family: Bacterial small subunit ribosomal RNA
Source: RNAcentral